CCUACGGGUGGCAGCAGUAGGGAAUAUUGCUCAAUGGGGGAAACCCUGAAGCAGCACCGCCGCGUGGAGGAUGAAGGUUUUCGGAUUGUAAGCUCCUUUUGUUAGAGAAGAUACUGACGGUAUCUAACGAAUUAGCACCGGCUAACUUCGUGCCAGCAGCCGCUGUAAUACGGAGGGUGCCAGCGUUACUCGGAAUCACUGGGCGUAAAGAGCGCGUAGGCGGGAUAGCAAGUCAGAUGUGAAAUCCUCUGGCUUAACCAUAGAACUGCAUUUGAAACUGUUAGUCUAGAGUAUGGGAGAGGUAGGUGGAAUUCUUGGUGUAGGGGUAAAAUGCGUAGAGAUCAAGAGGAAUACUCAUUGCGAAGGCGACCUGCUAGAACAUAACUGACGCUGAUGCGCGAAAGCGUGGGGAGCAAACAGGAGUAGAUACCCGAGUAGUC
This 440-nucleotide ribosomal RNA is filed under the name uncultured bacterium. Its description in RNAcentral is "partial 16S ribosomal RNA". It matches the Rfam family "Bacterial small subunit ribosomal RNA", at positions 338 to 795 of the family's 1533-position model. The record is from RNAcentral.